RNAcentral lists this ribosomal RNA (908 nucleotides) under uncultured Anaerolineaceae bacterium. RNAcentral's name for it is "partial 16S ribosomal RNA". The record is from RNAcentral. Lineage: Bacteria; Bacillati; Chloroflexota; Anaerolineae; Anaerolineales; Anaerolineaceae.
UACCUUGUUACGACUUAGUCCCAGUCACCGACCCCACCUUUGACAGCUCCCUCCCUUACGGGUUAGGAUACCGGCUUCAGGUGUUGCCAGCUUCCAUGACUUGACGGGCGGUGUGUACAAUCCCCGGGAACGUAUUCACCGCAGUAUAGCUGACCUGCGGUUACUAGCAACUCCAACUUCAUGCAGGCGAGUUGCAGCCUGCAAUCUGAACUGAGGACAGCUUUAGAGGAUUGGCUCCGCCUCGCGGCUUGGCAACCUGUUGUACUGUCCAUUGUAGCGUGUGUGUAGCCCUGGAUAUAAAGGUCAUGCUGACUUGACGUCAUCCGCACCUUCCUCCGGCUUAAUACCGGCGGUAUUGUGUGACACAUAUAACACACAACGCGGGUUGCGCUCGUUAGCGGACUUAACCGAACAUCUCACGACACGAGCUGACGACAGCCAUGCAACACCUGUAACAGCUCCCCGAAGGGUCGGUCCGAUUUCUCUUCCCUACCACUGCUAUGUCAAACCCAGGUAAGGUUCUUCGUGUAGCAACGAAUUAAACCACACGCUCCGCUGCUUGUGCGGGGACCCGUCAAUUCCUUUGAGUUUUAACCUUGCGGCCGUAGUCCCCAGGCGGUAGACUUAUCGCGUUAGCUUGGACACCGACAGCUAUUACACCACCGACGUCUAGUCUACAUCGUUUAGGGCUAGGACUACCGGGGUCUCUAAUCCCGUUUGCUACCCUAGCUUUCGCGUCUGAGUGUCAGGAAUGGUCCAGGAGGCCGCUUUCGCCACUGGUGUUCCUCCAGAUAUCUGCGCAUUCCACCGCUACACCUGGAAUUCCACCUCCCUCUACCAUCCUCUAGUUCUGCAGUUUAGAACGGCCUCUCCCAGUUGAGCCGGGAGCUUUCACGCCCUACUUACAG